AGGGAAUCUUCGGCAAUGGACGGAAGUCUGACCGAGCAACGCCGCGUGAGUGAAGAAGGUUUUCGGAUCGUAAAGCUCUGUUGUAAGAGAAGAACGAGUGUGAGAGUGGAAAGUUCACACUGUGACGGUAUCUUACCAGAAAGGGACGGCUAACUACGUGCUAGCAGCCGCGGUAAUACGUAGGUCCCGAGCGUUGUCCGGAUUUAUUGGGCGUAAAGCGAGCGCAGGCGGUUAGAUAAGUCUGAAGUUAAAGGCUGUGGCUUAACCAUAGUACGCUUUGGAAACUGUUUAACUUGAGUGCAAGAGGGGAGAGUGGAAUUCCAUGUGUAGCGGUGAAAUGCGUAGAUAUAUGGAGGAACACCGGUGGCGAAAGCGGCUCUCUGGCUUGUAACUGACGCUGAGGCUCGAAAGCGUGGGGAGCAAACAGGAUUAGAUACCCUGGUAGUCCACGCCGUAAACGAUGAGUGCUAGGUGUUAGACCCUUUCCGGGGUUUAGUGCCGCAGCUAACGCAUUAAGCACUCCGCCUGGGGAGUACGACCGCAAGGUUG
This 549-nucleotide ribosomal RNA is filed under the name uncultured bacterium. RNAcentral describes it as "bacterial SSU rRNA". It matches the Rfam family "Bacterial small subunit ribosomal RNA", at positions 356 to 896 of the family's 1533-position model. The record is from RNAcentral.